CCAGACUCCUACGGGAGGCAGCAGUGGGGAAUCUUCCGCAAUGGACGAAAGUCUGACGGAGCAACGCCGCGUGAGUGAUGACGGCCUUCGGGUUGUAAAGCUCUGUUAAUCGGGACGAAAGGCCUUCUUGCGAAUAGUGAGAAGGAUUGACGGUACCGGAAUAGAAAGCCACGGCUAACUACGUGCCAGCAGCCGCGGUAAUACGUAGGUGGCAAGCGUUGUCCGGAAUUAUUGGGCGUAAAGCGCGCGCAGGCGGAUAGGUCAGUCUGUCUUAAAAGUUCGGGGCUUAACCCCGUGAUGGGAUGGAAACUGCCAAUCUAGAGUAUCGGAGAGGAAAGUGGAAUUCCUAGUGUAGCGGUGAAAUGCGUAGAUAUUAGGAAGAACACCAGUGGCGAAGGCGACUUUCUGGACGAAAACUGACGCUGAGGCGCGAAAGCCAGGGGAGCGAACGGGAUUAGAUACCCCGGUAGUCCUGGCCGUAAACGAUGGG
This 490-nucleotide ribosomal RNA is filed under the name uncultured bacterium. RNAcentral describes it as "bacterial SSU rRNA". It matches the Rfam family "Bacterial small subunit ribosomal RNA", at positions 331 to 813 of the family's 1533-position model. The record is from RNAcentral.